This is a long non-coding RNA of Bombus terrestris (buff-tailed bumblebee), 4551 nucleotides long. RefSeq lists it as uncharacterized. Lineage: Eukaryota; Metazoa; Arthropoda; Insecta; Hymenoptera; Apidae. The record is from RefSeq and is a predicted model, not a curated record. The transcript is spliced from 2 exons.
GUGUGGCAUCGUAUGAUUCACGUAAUCGGUCGUUGACAUUCUAUGUACGUAUGUACGCCUUUAAUCGAUACUUCUUUCAAAACCUAUUUCAAAUUAUUUUUCAAAUUUAAAAACUGAUUAAACUAUUCUUAACAGUUACAUACACGUUAGUGAUAAAGUAUUUAACAAGUGGCGAGAAAGUUAUCACGACUCCGAAUUCGUUAUUACCUUCGCCGGUACUUUUACUAUAGACAAGCGAUUGAUUUCACGAUUCAUAUAAUAUUUAUGAUUGCAAUGACAUUCCACAUUUGGCGUUCGUUCAGUUGCCCGGGGAAUUCUGUGCGGGAACGACGGCGCGAGAAGUUGCAAGAACAACAAACGGAAAGGCGAAAACACAAGGAUCCCCAAAAUUUUUCCAAGGCGAUACUGAGAAAAUAAGAGAGACGAACAGACUUCGAGCGAUACACCGCAUGGUCGGAAUCGUCGAAUGGGAAAUCACCGAGUAUAAAUAGAAGAUGACUCGCGGUCUGGACUCGCUUGGACACCGUCAGUCGAUGAUCAUACUUUAGCACCGCUAAGUGGGUAUCGAUACAGCAGUACUUCGUUAACUGGCCACGAUCCGGAACCUUAUCUGGUCAGUUAUCGAGAAACAUAAUGCCAGAGGUACGCUCACAAAAUCAGUAUGAAGAAUUGGUGGGGAUAGCGAUAACCAGCUAGAGAAGUGAAAUGGCGAACAAUUAACGCGACGUUAUUGUACAUCUCUGAUAGAUCUAUAUAUGCGUAAAAAUGUACACGCACGAAAUAAGGUAUCCGGUUCAUCCUUGGAGCAUCGUUCCGCGUGUUCCAAAAAUAACUAAGGCCAGAUGUGUCAUAUUACACUUAUAUGUAUGAAACAUAUAUUGCUUUUAUAUCUACUGAUAACAAUCGAAACGUUCGUAAACUCUGUUACGUUUAUCUCGGUCGGUAUAAUCGAGUAGCAAUAUGAAAAAUAAUAUGUCUGACGUUUUCAACCUACACGUGUCGUCAUACAUGCCGCUUUUGUAAUUACAUGCCUGUACACAACGUUUUAUUGCUCGUGCGUGAAAUUUUAAUCAAGUCUCCCAGCUCCCGGCUAGUUUCGCACAGUAAAAUAGAAUAUAAAGAAACCAAAGGAUUCGAUCAGGUUUGCUUGCACCGUAAUACGCAUAUAGCGUCAUUUCCCUGAACAAAGGAAGAACGAAAUAAUCCGAUUAUUUCGGUGUUUCGAAGCUUUCAUAUUUGUCCAUUUCGUAUUUAUGUUCCGUUAAAAUUAAGUCCAUUAACACAAAAUUAGCCGUUCGGGUGAAAGCUACUUUUUACUAACAUAGCGUACCACGGUAGGGCAUCUAAGAUCGUGUUUCUAACGUGCUCGAGGCUUUGAAAAAUUUCAAGAAAUUUAUGGCUAGUUUUAACGUCUCUACUACGAUAUCCUGAUAGGUGUCAAGAUGAAAUAUUAAACGAUUAGUUGUUAAAAACUCGAAAGGUUUAAACAAAAUUAUUUGGCGACUGAAGAAUCGUUGGGAGGUUAAAAUUGCACGUCUCACGUUGUAUGCGGAGGGUUAAAUCCACUUUCUCGUAUACGUAUAUACAAAAGACAAACGCGUAUGUAAUUUUUCACAGGAUAACUAACAGAGACCGAUUUAAAAAAAAAUGACCGAUUCCACGGAAUAACCAACGAAGACUAAUUAAAAAGAAUGACCGAUUCCACGGAAGAAAUCGUCGAUCGUUAUCUCACCUUGAGCGCAUAUUUUUCCCUGGUAUUUUUGUCAUAACACUGAACAACUUUUCCGUUUAUUCCAAGACCAAGCACGUGAUUACUGAUUUCAUAGUCAUCGGUGAUCGGUGUGACUUUCGGUAAACGGACGUCGCAUCUUGUGACCGUGUGUUCCAUGGUUUUCCGUUUGGUUUCCACGGUCGAAACCUCUUUCUCUUUCGUCGACACCUCGAUCUCUAUUUCCGCUGCUCGUUUCCGUUUUCCUUUCUUAUUCUCCUCGUUCUCCUCGCCGACGGGCCUCUUGCACUUUCUAAAAUGGUAAUCGAUCGUCAAUCACGUUCUCAUCCCAUGGGGGAGAAGAGACCCGACUCUUAUUUUUCUCUUUUUUCUACGUGUGUAUUACGUGUGUGUAUAUAUAUAUAAAAUAACGCAAAUGUACCGACACCAUAAAUAUUCGAAGGAAAUUGAGACACUUCAUGAGAAAUGCGAAGAAGUACGACGAUUUGACUGGCACCGUUGAUAAGAAAAACCUUAGAACGAUAGCAUAUUUCGUGCUGACACUUGUGAGCGCGCCACGCGAAUGACAGUACUGACAGUAGUAUAGUUACAAAAAAAAAUUAUUUGCCAACGAAAAGCUAUUUUAUCACUCGCAUCGGCGCCUAUUUUAUCUUUAAGAGUUACCAACGGAACGCGAUUUAUAUCCUUUUGAAAGUAAAUUGUAAUUUCUGUUAUUCGCCGCGAGGCUCGUAUGAAGAAGUUACUCAUUACAGAUUUCAAGUAUUUCUUAUUACCUUAAACUGAUAAGUCCAUUAUCGUCCGAUUAAUCGCGACGUGGUACGCCAAGCAGUUACUCGCAUGUUGUUAUCAAAUUGACAUUGCGAUAGAAAAUAUCAAUGCUUGAUUAUGCAUAUGUAAUUUAUAUAAUUUACAUCUUUACGUAAUUGCUAAAUCUUUAAAUUUAUAAAAGUUAUUAAACCAAUUAUAGGGAAUAAAAUUGGUAAAAAGUUAAUUGGUAAUUAGUUAAUUGAUCAAAUUAAUUUACUUUGUGACUUAGAGGAAAUAUUUUGGCAAACUGGUAUAUUCGUUUGUAUGAUCACAUUGUAAGUACACAUGCACGAUAUAGCACGAUAUACUUACUCAAAUACGCGCACACCUUUAUGUAUUACACAACUAAGUUCAAUCGAUUGCAGUAAAAUUAUACUACAUAGCUCAACGCACGUGAAUGGAACAUUUUCAAAUUAUCAAGACUAUCCCAAUCGGGUGCGUCGAUUAUGUGUUGCUUUAAUGAUGAUCGAUACACGCAAUAAAACAGCAACAGAAAUGAUCGAUCGAUAGAUCAAAGAAACAAAAAACAAAGGACAAAAACGUCGUAAAACAGGGUUAAAAAAUCAGUCGCAAGUUUUAAUCAGCACGAGAUUAAGUAAUAAUGUGCAAUUGUUAUGAUUGCAACGAACAAAAAUCUACAAAGAAUGAUGAGGAAUAGUGUUUAUCGUCGUAUUAUUCAAAAGGACGAGUUGACGUUAUCGUAUUUCAAUCAAUCUGAUAUAUUGAUUUCGAGGAAAUAAAAUAUAAUACGUUCUACAGAUGUUUAUGCAUUUAUGUAUGGGAAAUUUAAAAGCGGAAAUUAUAUAAAACGCGCGUAAUAUGCAAAACUGCAUAAGAUAUCCAAAGUGAAUUAUAUGUUAUAUUAUGUAAUGGAUAAUAUAAGUGUUUAUUUAGGUUUCAUUCUUUUUAAUUAAUAACUUAUGAAAGUAUGAAUAUGCAUGAACAUCUGCAGUCUAAUAAUAUGACAGAGACCUCCAGAAUGUCCACUUGGCUGCCGAUUUCGGCAUUUGUGUAGCUUUUUUAACGUUUCGAAAUCUUUCUAAUCGAAUCGUUGAACGAAGAUAGAAAGCAUCGCCUUCCGGGAGGGCCGAAAUUCCAAAGAAUUCUCAGAGGUAACACAGUCAGGUAGCGGUGAGUUAUGGAUUAACUGUGUGAGCUCCGCGUCGUCGAAUAAAAUAAGAAUGUGUUUCUAAUCGUAACUCAAAACUCGAUAUCCAAAGAAUAAUCGCACAGAGAGGGAAGAGGCCAGCUGAAAACCGAAGAUAAAAAAACUAAUAUAACUCAUCCUCAAUAAUGAAACUGGUGAUUGACGAUGGAAAGAAGCGUGCAAAAAAGCAAUUAUCAGAAAGCAAGUUUUUACAUGUGCGUAUGUACAUAUGUGUAGAGGGAUUACACGGGAUGCAGUGUGUCUAUCUCAACACUUCUUCUAAUGAGAUGAAUCGCAUUUCUGUUACGCAAGUUACACAGCCAAAAGAUUCAUGAACUUGGCAAUAUAAACACAAUGGGAGGAACAGAACACAAAAUGACUUGUCGAAGAUCUAUUUGCAUAAACGUAUAUCCACCGCCAAAUUCGCCAUCUAUACCUUAUCAAGAUUCACUGAGUGAUUUACUUAAAAUAGCGGUAGCGUAUGACGUAUGCAAACAAAAUAAAAUGCAUUAGAGAUAAGGCAAAUUGAAAAUCAGGGGGAAAAACCAAAAAAAAAGAAAAAUAAAAAUAAAAAGAAGUCUGGCAUGAUUAUAAAAGAUAAUUAUGCUGGUUGUCUAACGUACUUGGUGACGUCCGCUUCUUCAAAGUUCAAUUUCCCGCCAUAAAAUGAUAUAUUUAAAAGAAAGAAUAACACUGUUACAACAUUUUAUAUUUCACACUGUCAUGAGAACACUCGAUUAGUAUUAUUUCUUAAGAAUUAUUCUUGUCACGAUACGUCAUAACACUGAAUCACAAUUCGAUACGAAGGUAUAAAAAAUAAUGUUCACGAAUAUUCAGAAUGUAACUAUGCUUCUAUUCGUUUGUUUCA